UCUCGGAGAUACACCGUGAGCGGUGCAC
RNAcentral lists this small RNA (28 nucleotides) under Bombyx mori (domestic silkworm). RNAcentral's name for it is "ovarian small RNA-29759". Lineage: Eukaryota; Metazoa; Arthropoda; Insecta; Lepidoptera; Bombycidae. The record is from RNAcentral.